CAGAAAUAUUUUACAGGUCUUGGUUUUGGGACACAUUCUUGAUAUAUACAAGGUUUGAUCAAAAUCUGAGAGAGUAACAACAACCUAGACUGACAGGAUGUUGGG
Etheostoma cragini (Arkansas darter) is the source of this 105-nucleotide long non-coding RNA. RefSeq lists it as uncharacterized. NCBI's taxonomy places the organism in Eukaryota, Metazoa, Chordata, Actinopteri, Perciformes, Percidae. The transcript is spliced from 3 exons. The record is from RefSeq and is a predicted model, not a curated record.